Molecule: long non-coding RNA, 646 nt
Organism: Rhipicephalus sanguineus (brown dog tick)
Lineage: Eukaryota; Metazoa; Arthropoda; Arachnida; Ixodida; Ixodidae
Exons: 3
Source: RefSeq, a predicted model, not a curated record
GACCUUUUGCGAAACUUCUUGCGUGCCUACUCAUUCCACCGUAAUAUCUUCAGCUCCAGCUCGACCUCCCCAUGGUCGGCCCGCACCACCUCAAAGAGUGCAGUCGCUAGGAAUAAGGCCCUCUGGGAAGUAGUAGCGUUGGCCUCACCGCCACAGUGCUCUACCGGGGAACUGACAAGUUGGACCGUUUCUGAGUGCAAGGACUCGAAGCCAAAAGAGUACGCAAGACGCGAAUCGUGGCAUUAUUUGACUUCCACGUCAACGGCCAUGGUAGUGUCAGAUGAAUACAGUCAAUAGACAUAGCAGCUGUGUGCUUACCUUCAAUGUAGACCAGGAGUACAUGUUCUGGAACACGACCGGUGAACCUGAUGGCAUUAGACAACCAAGCACGUGUUCAUGGAACGAUAAUUGGUUAUGCGACAAAAAGGAACAACAGCAAAAUAAGCGAACCACGGCAUUAAGCAUACCACCAUGAAAUUGUCUACUAUGGCUGUCCCAUUCGAAACUGUUUCUACCACUUUCGGGACUGCUUUGAGUCUGUAUGAGAUCCUGUGUACGUACAGUGCAUGUCUUUGCUUCAGCAUAUUAUGGAAACUACUCGUCUGUUCCUCGCUUUGAAUGUUUCAAUAAAACAUUUUGAGCAAUA